AAAAAAAAAAAAAAAAACAAUAACAAAACAAGAAAGUGAUAGCACCACUCCAGUGGGUAUUUCCAUGAAUGACACGAAGUGUGAAGAAACCAUUAUAUUUUCUGGGGUUUGAAGUCAACAAGUAUCUCUCUGAAUAAGCUGCUGCUAAUAUCCUUACAAAUGCACACUCUUUGGAAUUCAACAGUCAACCAAUAUCCUUAAAUAAACUGCUAAAACAGCCAUGCACUUGCAAUAAAUUGGCCCUCAUAUUUAAUAGGGAGUAGCACACGCUAAUCGCCUGUCCUUAUAGAGAGUAAGGCCUUUGCAUCCCUUUUUCUUUGACCUCUUUAUUCUCCUACUCUUUUGCUAGUCAUUUGUUAUAUUCUACUUUCACUGUGAGUUCUCACAAUAAUGCAGCUGUUAUUCAACUUUUGUCAACUUACAAAAUACACUAGGAUAACCCUGUUUUGUGAUAAAGCAACAGGAAUUUGCUUUAUGUCCUUGUUUCUCUUUGCUUAUUUGGAAAGAAUAUGUAUCCAGAUAUCAUCGACAAGGUUAUGCUGCAUCAGAUAAUAAGUUUCCUCACAUAAAAUGUUUCCUACACUAGAUACAAGUCAAAACAAAAGAGAUAACAUAUAUGAAUCCAAACUUUCACACUGGAAUACCUAAUAUAUUGACACUGAUAUUGAUUCAAGGAUCUGUUUAGGACAAGAUAAUGUAAAAAUGAACUUCAACCUUGAAAAAUCCCAAUGUUAAAUUGAAGUGAACAAUCCAAGCAGCAGUUGAUUUUUCCAUACCUGG
RNAcentral lists this unclassified non-coding RNA (780 nucleotides) under Hevea brasiliensis (rubber tree). Lineage: Eukaryota; Viridiplantae; Streptophyta; Magnoliopsida; Malpighiales; Euphorbiaceae. The record is from RNAcentral.